GAUGAACGCUAGCUACAGGCUUAACACAUGCAAGUCGAGGGGAAACGAUAGAGGAAGCUUGCUUUUUCUAGGCGUCGACCGGCGCACGGGUGAGUAACGCGUAUCCAACCUGCCCAUCACUUGGGGAUAACCUUGCGAAAGUAAGACUAAUACCCAAUGACGUCUCUAGAAGACAUCUGAAAGGGAUUAAAGAUUUAUCGGUGAUGGAUGGGGAUGCGUCUGAUUGGCUUGUUGGCGGGGUAACGGCCCACCAAGGCGACGAUCAGUAGGGGUUCUGAGAGGAAGGUCCCCCACAUUGGAACUGAGACACGGUCCAAACUCCUACGGGAGGCAGCAGUGAGGAAUAUUGGUCAAUGGACGAGAGUCUGAACCAGCCAAGUAGCGUGCAGGAUGACGGCCCUAUGGGUUGUAAACUGCUUUUAUAAGGGAAUAAAGUGAGAGUCGUGACUCUUUUUGCAUGUACCUUAUGAAUAAGGACCGGCUAAUUCCGUGCCAGCCGCCGCGGUAA
Molecule: ribosomal RNA, 508 nt
Filed under: uncultured bacterium
Lineage: Bacteria
Description: partial 16S ribosomal RNA
Rfam family: Bacterial small subunit ribosomal RNA
Source: RNAcentral